CAGGCAAGAGGGAAGGAGCUCUCUGUCAUGGGAGAGAGGAGAAGCCUGAUGCAGGAGCAGCAUUUGAUACGGCUGUGAGAUGAAGAAUCCCUGAUUAAUACAACUAACAACCCCAGCUUCAAAAAGAACUUUAAUAAAGACUACAAACAAAUUUCAGAAGCUGACCUACAGUAAAUUGUGUUUUAAAUUACAAGAGAUAUCAAGUACCUACAACUCCCAGUGACCUCACUGAAAAUUGCAAGUGACCAAUACCAGCCAAGAUCUGGCUGCAUUCAGGGAACCAACCCCGGACAGAUUACCAUCUUCCUGAAAUGGGACUGAUUUGCUGAGUAGCCUUAUGGAUCAAACACAGACCCAAGCCAUGAAAUAUGACUCCCAGCAGAAAACAAGGACAGCAGACAAGCGGAGUGUGAACCAGAGAUGCACUUGUAUAUUCUGAACCCUGCUACAGAUGCUACUGGCACCUUGUUUCAACACUGCCAAUUACAAUAGAAAAUGCUGAGAAGUUCCUUUCCUGCGUCCCCUUCCCUGC
Alligator sinensis (Chinese alligator) is the source of this 532-nucleotide long non-coding RNA. RefSeq lists it as uncharacterized. The record is from RefSeq and is a predicted model, not a curated record. The transcript is spliced from 3 exons. NCBI's taxonomy places the organism in Eukaryota, Metazoa, Chordata, Crocodylia, Alligatoridae.